CCUACGGGCGGCAGCAGUGAGGAAUAUUGGUCAAUGGGCGCAAGUCUGAACCAGCCAUGCAGCGUGCAGGAAGACGGCCCUAUGAGUUGUAAACUUCUUUUGUACAAGAGUAAACUUGGACACGUGUACCUUGUUGAAUGUACUGUAUGAAUAAGGAUCGGCUAACUCCGUGCCAGCAGCCGCGGUAAUACGGAGGAUCCGAGCGUUAUCCGGAUUUAUUGGGUUUAAAGGGUGCGUAGGUGGGUUGUUAAGUUAGUUGUGAAAUGUCCGGGCUUAACCCGGGAAUUGCAUCUAAUACUGGUAGUCUAGAGAGCAGUUGAGGUAGGCGGAAUGUGUGGUGUAGCGGUGAAAUGCUUAGAGAUCACACAGAACUCCGAUUGCGAAGGCAGCUUACCAAUCUGUAACUGACGUUGAGGCUCGAAAGUGUGGGUAGCAAACAGGAUUAGAUACCCUGGUAGUC
RNAcentral lists this ribosomal RNA (460 nucleotides) under uncultured bacterium. RNAcentral's name for it is "partial 16S ribosomal RNA". It matches the Rfam family "Bacterial small subunit ribosomal RNA", at positions 338 to 795 of the family's 1533-position model. The record is from RNAcentral.